GGCCCCGGGAAGGGCAGAAGCCCCAAGCUGUGCCCAACUGGGCAGAGGGAUCCUCCUCCUGUUCAUCACUGAUUAUGAAAAAUAUGAGCACCCACUAACCCAACGGUGACAGAUGAAGAAGGGGGAGACUAUACUGAACAGCAGUGCAGUCGUUGGGAUUGAGAAGUUGCCGUGCAGGAAAAAUCUCCAGUCCAGCCUCUUCCUCCACAAGAAAGCAGAAUCUGAAGUAGUUAUCUGAAAAUUCGAUUAGGAAAAAGGAAGUAUAAAAGAAGAGAACAGUAACUGAGACUCCCUCUGUCUAAAUGCAGAGGGGCUCUGAGCAGCGAGGGGGAAGGCACAGGUUGUAAUCUGAGGGCCUCAAAAAACUUGGGCCACUUUCUGGUUACAGCAGCACAGGGGCAAUUUCUCUUCUCUUGUGCUGGGUACUAAUUUUCUGGCAUAUACAUGGGCCAGCAAGGAAUGAAAGCAGAGCAAUGCUAAAACUCUGAAGGAAGAGGAGCAGGAGAACGAAUUAAGAUGCAGUCGAGGAAUUAGAUUUGCUGAAGUUUAAAGAACAGACCUGUGAACAGAUCUAGAAGUUAAUCAUGGAUUAACACUGCUGGGAUUGAGGGAGUCAGCUAAGGCUCAGUGAAGCUUGUACUGGGUAAUGUUUCCAGGCAUUAUCUCACGAAAGAUGGGCAUUGUCAUGGAAAAUGGAAGCAAAGACUACAAUUAUUUGCAUUGAAGCAGCAUGACUAAUCUGCAGGUUUUGCUGAUCUGGGGUAGGACUGGCAAUGUUAAAAACGAUUUGUGUGCAUUUCCAGAUCACAUGGAUUGUUUCCAGCUGCAUCUAAAAAUCAUGUGGUGUCACCCUCCAUGUUCUUGCACAAUUAAGCAAAGGGACUGGCUUCCCUUGAGAGAGGAGUUUUGUAUAUUGUAAAGGAUUGUAUAAGUGGGAAGGAAGCUGGUACUGCAGUCAUUUCACCUACAUAUGUGACUCUCUUUUCCAAAAGCUGUAGAGCCAUAAAUCUAUAAUAAAUUUUUAAAUGGAUUCUUCUGGAACAUGAUUUUUACCAAUUAUUAACUAUGUUUUUUUGAUGAAUCUAACAAGAUUGUAAAUGUUUUUCUAUUGAAUAUAGUUUGUAAAUACUAGUUAAAUAAAUUAAAAGAAGUAGUGAUUUAGUUGAA
This is a long non-coding RNA of Pogoniulus pusillus (Red-fronted tinkerbird), 1167 nucleotides long. RefSeq lists it as uncharacterized. The transcript has 4 exons. The record is from RefSeq and is a predicted model, not a curated record. NCBI's taxonomy places the organism in Eukaryota, Metazoa, Chordata, Aves, Piciformes, Lybiidae.